Molecule: ribosomal RNA, 253 nt
Filed under: uncultured bacterium
Lineage: Bacteria
Description: partial 16S ribosomal RNA
Rfam family: Bacterial small subunit ribosomal RNA
Source: RNAcentral
UACGAGUGGUGCAAGCGUUAAUCGGAGUUACUGGGCGUAAAGGGCGCGUAGGCGGUUAUAUGAGUGUGAUGUGAAAGCCCCGGGCUUAACCUGGGAAGUGCAUCGCAAACGAUAUGACUGGAGUACAAGAGAGGGUGGCGGAAUUUCCGGUGUAGCGGUGAAAUGCGUAGAGAUCGGAAGGAACGUCAAUGGCGAAGGCAGCCACCUGGCUUGAUACUGACGCUGAAGCGCGAAAGCGUGGGGAGCGAACAGG